GGCGGGCUCCCUGCGAGGGCGGGCGCGUCUGAGCCGGAGCCCCAGAGCCGCCCCACCGGGCCGCGCCCCGAGCGAGCCUUAGAAAUGCCCGCGCUGGGGGAGCGGGUGCCUGCCGCUCCGUGGGCCCGGAGGAGACGCUGAAGGUCGCCGGGAAGUGAGCGCCCGGUCACCUGACCCCCGGGGCGCACCUAGGCGGGGCGGGAUCCAUGCGAGGCUGGCGGCCGGGGGCCAGGAGCAGGCGGCGCGGAGCGCGCGGAGCCGGGCCGGCGGGGGCGCGCGGCGGGCGGGCGAGGGCGCGGCCGGGCACCCGCGGCGGCCUCGCCAUGUCCCAGCCGGCGGGGAGGAUGCAUUGCCGAAAGGCGGGGAUCCGCGCCGCGGUGGUGCUCAUCGGACUCCUGCACAAAUCCCGAAAACAGAAUAAAGAGAAAAGGAAGCAGGAGCUGGCCAACAGCUCAGAUGUGACUCUCCCAGACCGGUCGCUGUCCCCUCCUCUCACUGCACCUCCCACCAUGAAGUCGGCGGAGUUCUUCGAGAUGCUGGAGAAAAUGCAGGGGAUCAAGCUCGAAGAGCAGAAGCCAGGACCCCCGAAGAACAAGGAUGACUAUAUCCCGUACCCCAGCAUCGAUGAGAUUGUGGGGAAGGGAGGCCCAUACCCCCUGGUUGUCCUGCCCCAGUUCGGGGGCUACUGGAUCGAGGACCCGGAGAACGUGGGCACGCCGACCUCCCUGGGCAGCAGCGUGUGCGAGGAGGAGGACGAGGAUGGCCUCAGCCCCAGCACCUUCGGCUACAAGCUGGAGUGCAAGAGCGAAGCCAGGGCCUACCGCAGGCACUUCCUGGGGCAGGAUCAUCUAAACUUUUACUGUACCGGCAGCAGUUUGGGGAACUUGCUCCUGUCCAUCAAGUGCGAGGAGGCGGAGGGCAUUGAGUACCUUCGGAUUAUUCUCAGGUCCAAGGUGAAGACAGUGCAUGAACGGAUCCCCUUGGCAGGAUUGAGCAAGCUGCCCAGCAUCCCUCAGAUUGCAAAGGCCUUCUGUGAUGAUGCAGUGGGACUGAAAUUCAGCCCUGUCCUGUACCCCAAGGCCUCCCAAAUGAUUGUGUCCUAUGAUGAGCACGAUGUCAAGAACACAUUCAAAUUUGGAGUCAUUUACCAGAAAGCCAGGCAGACCCUGGAGGAGGAGCUGUUUGGGAACAAUGAGGAGAGCCCAGCUUUCAAGGAGUUCUUGGAACUGCUGGGGGACACCAUCACCCUGCAGGACUUCAAAGGUUUCCGAGGAGGCCUGGAUGUGACCCACGGACAGACGGGGGCGGAGUCAGUGUACACGAUAUUUCGGGACAGGGAGAUCAUGUUUCACGUCUCCACAAAGCUGCCCUUUACGGAGGGAGACACCCAGCAGCUCCAGAGAAAGAGACACAUUGGCAAUGACAUUGUGGCCAUCAUCUUCCAAGAAGAAAACACACCUUUUGUCCCAGAUAUGAUUGCCUCCAACUUUUUACAUGCCUACAUCGUGGUGCAGGCUGAGAGCCCGGGCACAGAGACCCCAUCCUACAAGGUCUCGGUCACUGCAAGGGAAGACGUGCCUGCCUUCGGCCCACCUCUACCGAGCCCCCCUGUUUUCCAGAAGGGCCCGGAGUUCAGGGAGUUUCUGCUCACGAAGCUCACCAACGCAGAGAACGCUUGCUGCAAGUCGGACAAGUUUGCAAAGCUGGAGGACCGGACGAGGGCCGCCCUCUUGGACAACCUUCACGAUGAGCUCCAUGCACGCACACAGGUCAUGCUGGGACUGGGCCCAGAAGAGGACAAGUUUGAGAAUGGGAGCCAUGGGGGAUUCCUGGAGUCUUUUAAGAGGGCCAUCCGAGUGCGCAGCCACUCCAUGGAGACCAUGGUGAGCAGCCAGAAGAAGCAACAUGGCGGAGGUCUCCCUGGCAGCCUCAGCGGGGGCAUCUCCCACAACAGCACAGAGGUCACCAAGACUACCUUCUCGCCUCCAGUGGCGGCGGCAACCGCCAAGAACCAGUCGAGGAGCCCCAUCAAGCGGCGGUCAGGGCUUUUCCCCCGUCUGCACACGGGCUCCGAAGGCCAAGGGGACAGCCGGACGCGAUGUGACAGUGCAUCCAACAACCCCAAGGCUCUGGAUGGCGGGCACUCUUCUCAGGAGAUAAAGUCUGAGACCUCAUCCAAUCCCAGCUCUCCAGAAAUCUGCCCCAAUAAGGAGAAGCCCUUCAUAAAGCUGAAGGAGAACGGCCGGGCCAACAUCUCCCGCUCCUCCUCCAGCACCAGCAGCUUCAGCAGCACGGCCGGGGAGGGCGAGGCCUUGGAGGAGUGUGACAGCGGGCCAGCCGUCCACCACCUCGCCUUUCAAGCAGGAGGUGUUUGUCUACAGCCCAUCCCCCAGCAGCGAGAGUCCCAGCCUGGGGACAGCCACUACUCCCAUCAUCAUGAGCCGGAGUCCUACAGAUGCCAAAAACAGAAAUUCCCCGAGGUCAAACCUAAAAUUCCGCUUUGACAAGCUCAGCCACGGGAGUUCCAGUUCGGGUCACUAAUGAGAAAGAGGAGUCCUUUGCCUAUCAAAGGGAAGCCUCAGUUCUGUCUCGGAGAAGGCUCCUGUCCUAGCAGUGCGGGGGUGCCAUUCACUACUAUGACCAUCACAGGCCUGUUGCUCCACUGGCCACCUGCCCACCAGACCUGUCCUGGUGUCCUGACCUGUCCACAGUGGCCCACCCCUUCACCAGGAUACCCUGCCAGCACCUCCCCUUCUGUGGACAAAGCCUCAUUCCUCCAGUCUCCCCUGCUCCUGACCAUCCCCUGUGCUGUGUGUCUGGGGCGUUUGUUAUCUCGUUUUUGCCUGCAGAGGCAAGUGUUGGGCAAGGGGGAACCUAGGUACUGGGGACUUGGAGACCAGAGAGGCAGAGAGCAUGGGACGUGGGGAGUGCAGGCCCACUGAGGGCUGUGUCUUGGGCCCGACAGGCACAGUGAGUGCAUUCUUGCUGGUGAGGGGGGCACUUUUCCAGGGACCCAUUUGUAGCUCCUCAGAGAUGUCCUGAUAGACAUUGGCUCUGUUGCUCUCACACUUCUGGAGCUCCCAGUAUCUGCUUGCUUCUCUGCCAGGAACUUCUCCCCCUCUUGCUGCCACAGGCCCAGGGCUGCCUCUGUCCCUGCUGCCGGCGCACAGCCCGGCGUGUGUGGGAGUGGGCGCCACACCCUUCCUUUUGGCUGAUUUCAUGCCAGCUCCAGACGGUGGCUGCUGGGGGAGAAGCCCUGUGUCGGUGGCUCCCCUUUGAGUGUGUGUUUUUCCCACGAAAGGGAGGGCAGCCAGGACAGAGAAGGAAUCCAGGGAGAGAGCCAGUGAGCGCCUGGGCCUUGGCAGAGGAGGACAUUGGGUGCGAGGGUGAGGCGGUGACCCAGGUGGCGGCUGUCCGUGGAGGUUCGUGGAGAGUUACCGCAACCCAGCUCUUUUGUGGAGCGGGAGAGGUGAGGAGGGGAUGACUCGGUAGGUGUGGUCAGGCCGACUGUGGGUGUAGAACUUAGGUGACAGGAAGGAGCGACCUCCUUCUGCAUUUCAUGUGGGCAGCUCAGUGCUGCCUGGGGGGCUCUUUACAGCGACUGUGCCCUUUGGCUUUGUCAGGGUGGGAUCCCCCGCCCUCUUCCCUUUCCCAACUGACCUACCAACCGUGGGCCUGUGGCAUUCCUGGAGACAUUCCUUCAUCCAGAGCCCCAGCUGGGUGCAGUUCAGAAACCACCUGCCAUCUGCCCCCUCAGCUAGAGAGAGCCACCUCCCCUGGGAUGGGACAGCUGCUCCCUGCUUCUCACUACCCACCUGAGUCUGCAGGUGGUUUCUGCAGACCUGCCCUGGUGGGGUUUAAGGCCUGGUAUCCUCCAGGUAAAAACAGAGUCUGAAGAGCAGACCCUUGGAGGUGCUGCAAUUUCAAGUGUGCAUGGGGCGUCCGGGACACAGGGCUGCUCGCUGGCUGGGCUCCUGCUUGAAUGAGCAGGUGAUGAGGGUUUCCAACCAAAUGCUUUAUUUGCAUUGGAUCUGGGCUUAUCCCCAAAGUCAAGGCAUACAAAUGUUACCCUUGUUUUUGACUGAUGUGGUCAUUUCCCCAUUGCUUUUUCAGUUAGAGCAAAACCUCGAUCCUCCACUCCCCCGCUCCCGUGGACGUGGUGGGGUCCGGUCUGUGGGCUGGUGGACCUCUCCCCCACAUCAUUCGGGGAAUGUGUUUACUUAAAGUACUAGUCUAGUAGAACUUAUUCUAGUUAGAAGGUCAACAAAUGUCUGUUUAGAUUUUAUGACAAAUCACGGUGGCAGCACCCACUGCUGGAGUGAGGCCUGCGGAUGCUGGCAGCGUUCUGCUGGCUGAGUUUCUGAAGGAACUUGGAAGGUUAAACUGCAUUUCUUUAAAAACAGUUCCAGGGUUCUGGCUUGCUUCUCUGGAUAGCCGGUACUUACAGCUGCUCCGUGGUUGUGCUGUGUUGUGUCGUGGUCUGGGGGUCUUCUGGGGUUUCCAGGUGGCCCCCACUCUGUCCUACUUGGGAACCUCAUACCCCACUUCCCGCUGUGCUCUGCUGCCCCCACUGCAGCUCCCACCUGCUGGGAGGGCUUCCCUCCUGCCUCCACCAGUGGCCGGGAUGGCUGGGUGUGACCAGGGAAGCUGAGAGGUGCAGGUCUGCCCUGAGCUUCACAGACCUGAGAGGGGGCAUUUACCCUCUGUUUGCUAAUGGGGAUGCUCUGGGAAGGAUCUAAACUGUUCCUCCCCCCAUGUCCUGCAUGACCAUCCCUAAAAAGUCCAUCCUAUGGCUUCCAGAAUGUACAUACCCAGCCUCCCUGAGGUCCCAGGGCUGAGGGGGAAGAGGAGAACCAGGACCCAGCAGGCUCUGCUCCCUGCUCUGGACCUGGAUGCUGCCUUCCCCACAACCCCCUUGCUUCUGCUCUGUCCCCAACUGUCUUUCUUUCAUUGCUGUGUUCAGUCUUGGGGCUCAGAGAUUUGCUGAAAGCUCCUUGGUCCUUGUGGCCAAGCUCAUCCCAACGGUGCUCGUGCUGGCAUUUGAGGCAUCCCACAUGUGAUCCCCAGACCUGUCCCUGGCUCCGGGAACUGCCUGACUCACGGACGAAGCCAUGCUUGUCAGGGUCUGGGGGGCACCCCCACGCCUCUGCUCAGAUGAUGCUGAAAUGCAGACUCAGGAAGAGCCCGGAUGGGUUUCUGUCAUGAAUGGAAGAUGGUGUUUCUUAAAAAAUAUUCCGUGGUUUAGCCUUGACAGUAUCAUCUUGAUGUCCAUGCCUUCUGGGCUCCUUGUAGCAUCUGAUCCAACCACGUCACCUUCCAGAUGAGAACCUCAGCUCCAGAGCAGGGAAAAAGAACUUGCUUGAGGUUGCAUAAGCAGCUACUGGCAAAGCUGGGAUUAGAACAAACAGCCCAGGGCCCUUUCUUUGGCACCGCCUACAUGGUUGGUUCAACAAGGGCUGCAUUUCCUGGGGCCCUGGCUGGGAGGUGUCUGCAGUCAGGGGUGCUGGUGGGGCCUCUGACUCUGUUCCUUUCAUUGGGAGGGAUACUGGGCUCUUCAGUGGCUUGUUCCUGGGUGACAUCGACUCUUCAACUCUGGUGUGUAAGGGGGUGGAGGCCAGGGCAUAGAUGCAGUUAUCCAGCCCUCAGUUUCCCCUUUUUCAGUUAAGAAAAGUGUAAAUGAGAAGUCUUUGAUUCUCCCUGGUCCUUAAACAAAGGUGGUAGUAAAAAUAUAGACUCAGGCGGCGAGGUGGGAUGAGAGCCUGUUUCAGUUUCUUACCCUGAUUGUUCAAGGUGCCAACUCAAACACUACCUUCAUCCUUCCACUGGGAGUCAGUAGAGGCAGGCCUGUCAUGGGGGAGUGGGCGGGGUUCCAGCAGAGCUUAGGGCUGCGGGUGGCAGGCAGCAACCAGCUGUGCAGCUGUACUCAGGACUGCUCAGCUCCUCCCCCAGCCUGUGGAUACCCCUUUCUCGAACACCAGGGGUGGGAGGCAGUGGAGUUCACUUAGGUUGUCCCCAGGUGGGGGGGCCAGGUGGGGCAUUCUUCUACAAACUCUGAUCUGUUUUACCACUAGCUCCUUGCCCUGCUCGCCCCAUGUCUCCCUCCUUUUAGCUGGGCUGUGUGCCACUUUGAGGGGAAGGAGACAACCCCCACUAGGGCCAGGGACAGGGGAGCCCUGCCUAGGGCGAGGCCGCAGGGGCAGUGGCUCUGUUCUGUGCCUGACCUGCCCUGGGGAGAGGGUGUGUGGCUGGAAGACUAGAAUUUAAAUGCCAUUGUCUUUGAUUCUGUGACAUUUCUGCUUGGAAGAGUCAGUCCCCUGUUCCUGCUCCUUAGCAUGUGUGCCAACUCUCCCCUGUCAUGGAGUUCCCCUUCCACACUCCAGCCCAGGGAAUGCUGACGUGGCAGUGUGCAGAGAUCCCUCGGUGUGACUGAACCUUAGAGCUGUAGCUUGGAGAUGCUGAUCACGUGGUGAAUGACUUUCCUUCCUUUCCUCUUCGCGGGGAGGGAUUUGUAGACCCUGACUGCCUAUGUAAUGUAAAUAGUGUACAUUUAAUUUAUUGCUAUGGUAGCACAUUGUAUUUGUUAAUGUAUAAAACAAAUUCUAAAAGGUUGACAAAUGUAUAUUUUGUUGCUUAAAUGUGUCUUUGCAGAAAUUGACAAUAAAUAACAUAUUUUGUGUCCA
Phyllostomus discolor (pale spear-nosed bat) is the source of this 6680-nucleotide RNA transcript. It is a transcript of the gene named RAP1 GTPase activating protein 2, with no coding region annotated. The transcript has 24 exons. The record is from RefSeq and is a predicted model, not a curated record. NCBI's taxonomy places the organism in Eukaryota, Metazoa, Chordata, Mammalia, Chiroptera, Phyllostomidae.